GGAUAACUACUGGAAACGGUAGCUAAUACCGCAUAACGUCGCAAGACCAAAGAGGGGGACCUUCGGGCCUCUUGCCAUCGGAUGUGCCCAGAUGGGAUUAGCUUGUAGGUGAGGUAACGGCUCACCUAGGCGACGAUCCCUAGCUGGUCUGAGAGGAUGACCAGCCACACUGGAACUGAGACACGGUCCAGACUCCUACGGGAGGCAGCAGUGGGGAAUAUUGCACAAUGGGCGCAAGCCUGAUGCAGCCAUGCCGCGUGUAUGAAGAAGGCCUUCGGGUUGUAAAGUACUUUCAGCGGGGAGGAAGGGAGUGAGGUUAAUAACCUCAUUCAUUGACGUUACCCGCAGAAGAAGCACCGGCUAACUCCGUGCCAGCAGCCGCGGUAAUACGGAGGGUGCGAGCGUUAAUCGGAAUUACUGGGCGUAAAGCGCACGCAGGCGGUCUGUCAAGUCGGAUGUGAAAUCCCCGGGCUCAACCUGGGAACUGCAUUCGAAACUGGCAGGCUGGAGUCUUGUAGAGGGGGGUAGAAUUCCAGGUGUAGCGGUGAAAUGCGUAGAGAUCUGGAGGAAUACCGGUGGCGAAGGCGGCCCCCUGGACAAAGACUGACGCUCAGGUGCGAAAGCGUGGGGAGCAAACAGGAUUAGAUACCCUGGUAGUCCACGCUGUAAACGAUGUCGACUUGGAGGUUGUUCCCUUGAGGAGUGGCUUCCGGAG
RNAcentral lists this ribosomal RNA (715 nucleotides) under uncultured bacterium. RNAcentral's name for it is "bacterial SSU rRNA". It matches the Rfam family "Bacterial small subunit ribosomal RNA", at positions 141 to 851 of the family's 1533-position model. The record is from RNAcentral.